AUAAAAGCUCAAAAUUUUGCUCAGCUUCAUAAAUAGUGGCUAAUUGUAAACAACAGGAAACCAAAUAUUCUGAAGGUGCCUCCUCUAACGACUGUACUGGAACAUAUAAUUCAGAUAUUAACUCUUUCCGUAACUCAAGAGACGAAAUGCUAACUGCAACAUCAAGUAAAGAAAACAAAACGUCGUUCCGUUUUGCAAAGUUGUUGCUGCCGCAACAAAUAUUUAAACAUCUCUUCGCUUGCUCAAAUAGCUCUUUUUCAUUUGUAUAAUGCAAAGCUAAUGCUUCUCGAAACUGUGCCACCGGCAUAUUCCCUUCCAGGAAAUAAUGAACUACUUCUUCCAUUUUGAUGGUUUAUUGGGAGAAAUAAUUCAGUGGUGGGAGUGAAUGGCUUUUCUUCAUUGAAUGUGAGUUUGGUAAGAGUAGCAAAAUCAAAGUUUCGCACCUCUAGCUUAAUGGCAAUCAACUAAUUAAAGUAUCGUAAUUUAAUAAUUGGAAGAAGAAUAUGAUUUAAAUACAUUAUUCUUUCAAAUUUACGCAAACAUAAAUUUAAAGAGUUAAGAAAUGCGUAAAGUAACUUUGCCGCCAUUUUUCUCUAGAAUUGUACAUAUUAUACAUCUCGAUUUGUUUAUAAAUAAAAAAGUUGACGAUGUCAACUGUAUUCAUUAAUGAUGUUUUAAUUAAUUUAAAUGCUAGAAUUAUACCGACAUUAUUUACUUUUGCUUUCUUCAGCUGUCGUGUUUGUUAAGUUUUAAAAUUGAUGUUGAUAAUGGGAACAGUAGAAAAGUGCACAUUUAUGAAAUAGGUUCAACUAUUUUAAAAUAAUCUAAUUAGGGGUCU
Non-coding RNA from Schizosaccharomyces pombe (fission yeast), 838 nucleotides. The record is from the annotation of a GenBank genome assembly. Lineage: Eukaryota; Fungi; Ascomycota; Schizosaccharomycetes; Schizosaccharomycetales; Schizosaccharomycetaceae.